This 207-nucleotide ribosomal RNA is filed under the name uncultured bacterium. RNAcentral describes it as "partial 16S ribosomal RNA". It matches the Rfam family "Bacterial small subunit ribosomal RNA", at positions 568 to 774 of the family's 1533-position model. The record is from RNAcentral.
UGCGUAGGUGGCAGAACAAGUCUGGAGUAAAAGGUAUGGGCUCAACCCGUACUGGCUCUGGAAACUGUUCAGCUAGAGAACAGAAGAGGACGGCGGAACUCCAUGUGUAGCGGUAAAAUAGCGUAGAUAUAUGGAAGAACACCGGUGGCGAAGGCGGCCGUCUGGUCUGUUGCUGACACUGAAGCACGAAAGCGUGGGGAGCAAAUA